This 124-nucleotide microRNA precursor is filed under the name Hordeum vulgare. Its description in RNAcentral is "microRNA MIR1122". It matches the Rfam family "MIR1120/MIR1122 microRNA precursor family". The record is from RNAcentral. Lineage: Eukaryota; Viridiplantae; Streptophyta; Magnoliopsida; Poales; Poaceae.
GUUCUACUUCCUUCGUCUGAAAAUACUUGUCAUAGAAAUGGGUGUAUCUAUACGUAUUUUAGUUCUAUAUACAUUCAUUUUAUACAUUUGUGCAACAAAUAAUUCUGGACGGAGGGAGUAUUAA